CGGACGGCUGAGUAACGCGUAGGUGACCUGCCCCGAAGUGGGGGAUAACUGCCCGAAAGGGUGGCUAAUACCGCAUGUGGAGGUUCGUUCAUUCGAACCUUCAAAGCAGCAAUGCGCUUCGGGAGGGGCCUGCGUCCGAUUAGCUCGUUGGUGGGGUAACGGCUCACCAAGGCGACGAUCGGUAGGUGGUCUGAGAGGACGAUCACCCAGACUGGGGCUGAGACACGGCCCAG
This 233-nucleotide ribosomal RNA is filed under the name uncultured bacterium. RNAcentral's name for it is "partial 16S ribosomal RNA". It matches the Rfam family "Bacterial small subunit ribosomal RNA", at positions 99 to 334 of the family's 1533-position model. The record is from RNAcentral.